AGGACGAACGCUGGCGGCGUGCUUAACACAUGCAAGUCGAGCGGAAAGGCCCUUCGGGGUACUCGAGCGGCGAACGGGUGAGUAACACGUGAGUAACCUGCCCCUAGCUCUGGGAUAGCUCCGGGAAACCGGGAUUAAUACCAGAUACGACCACUUUAGACAUCUGUCGUGGUGGAAAGGAUUCCGGCUAGGGAUGGGCUCGCGGCCUAUCAGCUUGUUGGUGGGGUAACGGCCUACCAAGGCGACGACGGGUAGCCGGCCUGAGAGGGCGACCGGCCACACUGGGACUGAGACACGGCCCAGACUCCUACGGGAGGCAGCAGUGGGGAUAUUGCGCAAUGGGCGAAAGCCUGACGCAGCGACGCCGCGUGGGGAUGAAGGCCUUCGGGUUGUAAACCCCUUUCAGCAGGGACGAAGCGAAAGUGACGGUACCUGCAGAAGAAGCGCCGGCUAACUACGUGCCAGCAGCCGC
RNAcentral lists this ribosomal RNA (472 nucleotides) under uncultured bacterium. Its description in RNAcentral is "SSU rRNA". It matches the Rfam family "Bacterial small subunit ribosomal RNA", at positions 26 to 518 of the family's 1533-position model. The record is from RNAcentral.